RNAcentral lists this ribosomal RNA (452 nucleotides) under Rhinella icterica (yellow cururu toad). RNAcentral's name for it is "partial 12S ribosomal RNA". It matches the Rfam family "Bacterial small subunit ribosomal RNA", at positions 875 to 1522 of the family's 1533-position model. The record is from RNAcentral. Lineage: Eukaryota; Metazoa; Chordata; Amphibia; Anura; Bufonidae.
GGGAACUACGAGCUAAGCUUAAAACCCAAAGGACUUGACGGUACCCCAUAUCCCCCUAGAGGAGCCUGUCCUAUAAUCGAUAAUCCACGUUUAACCUCACCAUUUCUAGUUAAUCAGCCUGUAUACCUCCGUCGUCAGCUUACCACGUGAGCGCCAAUUAGUGAGCUUAAUGUCUUCACCAACACGUCAGGUCAAGGUGCAGCAAAUGAAAUGGGAAGAGAUGGGCUACACUUUCUAUAUUAGAAAAAACGAAAAACUAUUUAUGAAAACUAGUUGGAAGGCGGAUUUAGCAGUAAAAAGGAAUCAGAAUGUCCAUUUUAACCCGGCACUGGGGUGUGUACACACCGCCCGUCACCCUCUUCAAAGCUUCUAACCUAGUUUUUAACAAACUAAGGCAUAACAGAAGAGGCAAGUCGUAACAUGGUAAGUAUACCGGAAGGUGUGCUUGGAAA